Molecule: long non-coding RNA, 1246 nt
Organism: Vigna angularis (adzuki bean)
Lineage: Eukaryota; Viridiplantae; Streptophyta; Magnoliopsida; Fabales; Fabaceae
Exons: 2
Source: RefSeq, a predicted model, not a curated record
GUUGUAGCAGAUAAACCCUUGCUUGUUCCUUCGUUCUAUGUGUUGUAGCAAAGAAACCUUAGCCGUUAAUAAGAUUAUGUCCCUCAUCAUUGUUGUACCUCCCUCGACUGACCAAAGUCACUGUUGACGACGUUGGUCACUGUCGUAGUGUCGCCGGUAAGAACUAAUGUCGUAAACCACUUCUCUUCUUCUUUCUCCCAAUUCGCCAAACAUCACUUCUCCACCAGACUCUCUUAUUUUUGGACCUUCCAUGGUCGACUAACCUCAUCUCCUUCCACCGCCACCACCUCUUCUUCUCGGAAGUGGUUUUCAAAGUCUGCCUUCGAUUUCAAGAUGAAGUUCAGUCUCCAAUACGAGUUCGGUGACUCCAAUUUCUCCAACGCCAACAAAUUCUCUUCUUGCCUCAAGACUUGGAGAUGCGGCGGUCAAGUUUCUUUUCUCCUCUCUCUUUUUUUCUCACUUUUUGAUCCUUAAUCUAAAGCCAUUCACAGCUUAGCAUGUAGUUAUUUGUUAGUUAUUCAUCCCUUUGCAUUUUGUUAUUUGCCUAGAACCUAUUCCACGAAAUGUCGGAACCACUGUCACUGUUAUUCUCUCUUUGAAAGCUAGUAUUGUUUGUUCUAGAGAGAGACAAUGGAUACUGUCACAGUUAUUCCCUUUGGGAUCGAUUUUUCUGGCUAAGUGGGAAAUUGUCUAUUGUUGAUGGCAACAUGGCAAAAGCUUUUGAAGAGUUCUGUAUUGCUUUGUCACUGGCCAAGAGAGAAAAUGUGGAAGAUUCCCUCUGUUCAGUCUCUCGUCCACAUGUAAAAGAACUAAACUUUGAUAAUGAAAUUAAUAUAUUGAAGGUCAAUUUCUUGAUGGAGAAUUCUGUGAUUAAGAUGAUGGAGCAUCAAAAGUAUUUGGGAUAAAAAGGAUGAAAAGAUAACUUCCACUGAGCUCGUGGCUGUAGAUGUUCUAAUGGAAGCAUGCCAAAAGAAGUUCAGGAACUAUAUGUCAUUCUCCUUCCUGAAAAAUGCAUGAGACAAUUAGAACUUACCUAAUAGUUAUCUAUCACUAGCCUAAUAAUGAACAUAACAUCUAGAAUAGUAUUAAUUACUCCUUCUUGAAUAAACGUCAUCAACUUGAUAAACUAAUUUCCUGUUGUAUUAUAAUUGAAAAAGUCACAUCCUCAUUACUUGUUCUGUUUGCUUGUGGAUAUUUUUGGCUCAGAUUUCUCAAAGAAAUACAGGAACUUGAUGGGUUCUACCUA